GAGAGUAGGCGUAGGCAGUUGCAGAUCAGCAAUUAACACUGAUUUGAGGAAAGUCCGGGCUCCCGAAAGACCAAACUUGCUGGAUAACGUCCAGUGCGAGCGAUCGUGAGGAUAGUGCCACAGAAAGAUACCGCCAAUCAUGUUCAAAUUAGUUGAAAUUGAUUGGUAAGGGUGCAAAGGUGCGGUAAGAGCGCACCAGCAGUAUCGAGAGGUACUGGCUCGGUAAACCCCGGUUGGGAGCAAGGCCGGAAGGAACUAUGGUUGGUCUUUUACCAGUUCCGCAAUUAAGAGCCGCUAGAGGUGUUUGGUAACAAGCAUCCCAGAUAGAUAACUGCCCUCGCAAGAGAACAGAACCCGGCUUACUACCUGCUCUUUCUA
This 378-nucleotide RNase P RNA is filed under the name Anabaena sp. FACHB-1237. RNAcentral describes it as "RNase P RNA component class A". It matches the Rfam family "Bacterial RNase P class A". Rfam says of the family: Ribonuclease P (RNase P) is a ubiquitous endoribonuclease, found in archaea, bacteria and eukarya as well as chloroplasts and mitochondria. Its best characterised activity is the generation of mature 5'-ends of tRNAs by cleaving the 5'-leader elements of precursor-tRNAs. Cellular RNase Ps are ribonucleoproteins. The record is from RNAcentral. Lineage: Bacteria; Bacillati; Cyanobacteriota; Cyanophyceae; Nostocales; Nostocaceae.